GAUGAACGCUGGCGGCGUGCUUAACACAUGCAAGUCGAACGGAAAGGCCUCUGCUUGCAGGGGUACUCGAGUGGCGAACGGGUGAGUAACACGUGGGUGAUCUGCCCUGCACUUCGGGAUAAGCCUGGGAAACUGGGUCUAAUACCGGAUAGGACAAUGGUUUGGAUGCUGUUGUGGAAAGUUUUUCGGUGUGGGAUGAGCUCGCGGCCUAUCAGCUUGUUGGUGGGGUAAUGGCCUACCAAGGCGUCGACGGGUAGCCGGCCUGAGAGGGUGUACGGCCACAUUGUGACUGAGAUACGGCCCAGACUCCUACGGGAGGCAGCAGUGGGGAAUAUUGCACAAUGGGCGCAAGCCUGAUGCAGCGACGCCGCGUGGGGGAUGACGGCCUUCGGGUUGUAAACUCCUUUCGCUAGGGACGAAGCGUUUUUGUGACGGUACCUGGAGAAGAAGCACCGGCUAACUACGUG
This 467-nucleotide ribosomal RNA is filed under the name uncultured bacterium. Its description in RNAcentral is "partial 16S ribosomal RNA". It matches the Rfam family "Bacterial small subunit ribosomal RNA", at positions 28 to 507 of the family's 1533-position model. The record is from RNAcentral.